CGUGCACGUAAGAGACGUCUCUCUGCACAUUCGCAUUUUCAGAAAUGGCUGACGACGGAGCUGAUAAGAAGCGCGGCAGGCCGAAGAAGUCCGAGACUGGCGAAAAGCGCGCCAAGGAGGAAUCCUCCAACGACGAGCCGAAAGCAAAGAGGGGGCGUGGUCGCCCCAAGGGCAGCAGCAAAAAGGCAAAGAGGGCUGCUGCCAAGGCUGCCGCCACCAGCCCCAAGAAGUCCCCCGGACGUGGACGCCCCCGAAAGGCGGAGGCCGACAAGGACUCUGGGUCCGAUGACGCCGGAGGAGACCAGUCCGACUGAGUGGUUCUAGCGGUUUGUCCUCAUUACUCGCUGGAGUUUUCGUAGUUGACGUCAACACGCCGAAUCAUUGCAAGGCUCAUCACGUUCUUCUGUUUCCACUCCCUCGUGUUGGUUCAUCUUAAGUUUUAGCCAGCAUCGUAUAUCACUGCUCCACGGCAUUUGCUCCCCCAUGUGUGUCCCCUCUGUACCAUUGUGCUCCGUUUCCAACCAAAUAAAAUGAUCUGUCUUUCGACGA
Molecule: RNA transcript, 549 nt
Organism: Ixodes scapularis (black-legged tick)
Lineage: Eukaryota; Metazoa; Arthropoda; Arachnida; Ixodida; Ixodidae
Exons: 5
Source: RefSeq, a predicted model, not a curated record